RNAcentral lists this ribosomal RNA (475 nucleotides) under uncultured bacterium. Its description in RNAcentral is "partial 16S ribosomal RNA". It matches the Rfam family "Bacterial small subunit ribosomal RNA", at positions 28 to 507 of the family's 1533-position model. The record is from RNAcentral.
GACGAACGCUGGCGGCGUGCUUAACACAUGCAAGUCGAGCGGUAAGGCCCUUCGGGGUACACCAGCGGCGAACGGGUGAGUAACACGUGGGUGACCUGCCCUCCACUCUGGGAUAAGCCUGGGAAACCGGGUCUAAUACCGGAUCUGACCUCCGCAUGCAUGUGCGGUGGGGGAAAGUUCUGGCGGUGGGGGGUGGGCCCGCGGUCUAUCAGCUUGUUGGUGGGGUGAUGGCCUACCAAGGCGACGACGGCUAGCCGGCCUGUGAGGGUGAUCGGCCACACUGGGACUGGGACACGGCCCAGAGUGAUACGGGAGGCAGCAGUGGUGAAGCUUGCGCAAUGGGCGGAAGCCGGACGCAGGAACGCGGCGUGGGGGAUGACGGCCUUCGGGUUGUAAUUCUCUGGGGAGAACGACGAAGCGCGUACUUCUGGUACGGGUGACGGUAGGGGGAGAAGAAGCACCGGCUAACUACGUG